GACGAACGCUGGCGGCGUGCCUAAUACAUGCAAGUUGAGCGAUGAAGAUUGGUGCUUGCACCAAUUUGAAGAGCAGCGAACGGGUGAGUAACGCGUGGGGAAUCUGCCUUUGAGCGGGGGACAACAUUUGGAAACGAAUGCUAAUACCGCAUAACAACUUUAAACAUAAGUUUUAAGUUUGAAAGAUGCAAUUGCAUCACUCAAAGAUGAUCCCGCGUUGUAUUAGCUAGUUGGUGAGGUAAAGGCUCACCAAGGCGAUGAUACAUAGCCGACCUGAGAGGGUGAUCGGCCACAUUGGGACUGAGACACGGCCCAAACCCCUACGGGAGGCAGCAGUAGGGAAUCUUCGGCAAUGGACGAAAGUCUGACCGAGCAACGCCGCGUGAGUGAAGAAGGUUUUCGGAUCGUAAAACUCUGUUGGUAGAGAAGAACGUUGGUGAGAGUGGAAAGCGCAUCAAGUGACGGUAACUACCCAGAAAGGGACGGCUAACUACGU
Molecule: ribosomal RNA, 496 nt
Filed under: uncultured bacterium
Lineage: Bacteria
Description: partial 16S ribosomal RNA
Rfam family: Bacterial small subunit ribosomal RNA
Source: RNAcentral